GUGGCUCAAUGGUAGAGUGCUUGCCUUGCAUGCAUGAGGUCCUAGGUUCAAUUCCCCAGC
Molecule: transfer RNA, 60 nt
Filed under: Dipodomys ordii (Ord's kangaroo rat)
Lineage: Eukaryota; Metazoa; Chordata; Mammalia; Rodentia; Heteromyidae
Rfam family: tRNA
About the family: Transfer RNA (tRNA) molecules are approximately 80 nucleotides in length. Their secondary structure includes four short double-helical elements and three loops (D, anti-codon, and T loops).
Source: Rfam by way of RNAcentral